This 305-nucleotide ribosomal RNA is filed under the name uncultured bacterium. Its description in RNAcentral is "bacterial SSU rRNA". It matches the Rfam family "Bacterial small subunit ribosomal RNA", at positions 333 to 655 of the family's 1533-position model. The record is from RNAcentral.
UUUUGCCUACGGGGGGCAGCAGUGGGGAAUAUUGCACAAUGGGGGGAACCCUGAUGCAGCGACGCCGCGUGAGUGAAGAAGUAUUUCGAUAUGUAAAGCUCUAUCAGCAGGGAAGAAGAUGACGGUACCUGAGUAAGAAGCCCCGGCUAACUACGUGCCAGCAGCCGCGGUAAUACGUAGGGGGCAAGCGUUAUCCGGAUUUACUGGGUGUAAAGGGAGCGUAGACGGCAUAGCAAGUCUGAAGUGAAAGCCCAAGGCUCAACCAUGGGACUGCUUUGGAAACUGUUAAGCUAGAGUGCUGGAGG